UACGUAGGGUGCGAGCGUUAAUCGGAAUUACUGGGCGUAAAGCGUGCGCAGGCGGUCUGUUAAGACCGAUGUGAAAUCCCCGGGCUUAACCUGGGAACUGCAUUGGUGACUGGCAGGCUUUGAGUAUGGCAGAGGGGGGUAGAAUUCCACGUGUAGCAGUGAAAUGCGUAGAGAUGUGGAGGAAUACCGAUGGCGAAGGCAGCCCCCUGGGCCAAUACUGACGCUCAUGCACGAAAGCGUGGGGAGCAAACAGG
RNAcentral lists this non-coding RNA (254 nucleotides) under uncultured bacterium. RNAcentral describes it as "partial 16S ribosomal RNA". It matches the Rfam family "Bacterial small subunit ribosomal RNA", at positions 524 to 776 of the family's 1533-position model. The record is from RNAcentral. RNAcentral also lists the same sequence under 1 other name.